AUUUAUGUAGUUUAUAAAAACAUUACAUUUUCAAUGUAAAAAUAAAAGGUAUCUUUUCAUAAAUA
This 65-nucleotide transfer RNA is filed under the name Trithemis aurora (dawn dropwing). RNAcentral's name for it is "tRNA-Glu". It matches the Rfam family "tRNA". From Rfam's summary of the family: Transfer RNA (tRNA) molecules are approximately 80 nucleotides in length. Lineage: Eukaryota; Metazoa; Arthropoda; Insecta; Odonata; Libellulidae. The record is from RNAcentral.